AGCCGUGUAGUGAGUACAAAGCGAACUAUUCUUUCGCCUUUUACUAAAGAAUACCGUGUACUCUCUAUAUUAAACGGCAUACACCUAUUUUUGGAGGAGUAACUUCUUUUGAAGUUU
Molecule: non-coding RNA, 117 nt
Organism: Arabis alpina (gray rockcress)
Lineage: Eukaryota; Viridiplantae; Streptophyta; Magnoliopsida; Brassicales; Brassicaceae
Source: Rfam